AACCUGGUUGAUCCUGCCAGUAGUCAUAUGCUUGUCUCAAAGACUAAGCCAUGCAUGUCUAAGUAUAAAUGCUAUACAAUGAAACUGCGAAUGGCUCAUUAAAACAGUUAUAGUUUAUAUGGUAAUCGAAUUUACAUGGAUAACCGUGGUAAUUCUAGAGCUAAUACAUGCUGUUAAGCCCAACUUAUGGAAGGGCCGUAUUUAUUAGAUAACAGACCAAUAUUCUUCGUGUCUAUUGUGGUGAAUCAUAGUAACUAAUCGGAUCGUAUGGGCUAGUCCCUCGACAAACCAUUCAAGUUUCUGCCCCAUCAGCUUUCGAUGGUAGUGUAUUGGACUACCAUGGCUUUCACGGGUAACGGAGGAUUAGGGUUCGAUUCCGGAGAGGGAGCCUGAGAAACGGCUACCACAUCUAAGGAAGGCAGCAGGCGCGUAAAUUACCCAAUUCUGACUCAGAGAGGUAGUGACAAGAAAUA
Molecule: ribosomal RNA, 473 nt
Filed under: uncultured marine eukaryote
Lineage: Eukaryota
Description: SSU rRNA
Rfam family: Eukaryotic small subunit ribosomal RNA
Source: RNAcentral